GAUAGGUUAAGUUAAUAAGGGCGCAUGGUGGAUGCCUUGGCACUAGAAGGCGAUGAAGGACGUGACUAACUACGAUAUGCCUCGGUUAGCUGUAAGUAAGCUUACCCGGGGGUUUCCGAAUGGGGCAACCCGAUCUUAAUGAUCAUCAUCUUUUUGAAUUCAUAGAUUAGAUGAAGCAAACGCUGUGAACUGAAACAUCUAAGUAGCAGUAGGAAAGUAAAGAAAUUUCGAUUCCGUCAGUAGCGGCGAGCGAACGCGGAAGAGCCCAAACCUGGAUGCUUGCAUCCAGGGGUUGUAGGACUGAUGUUGAGUUACAAAGGUAUAAGAUAGCAGAAACAGUUGGGAAGCUGUUCCAAAGAGGGUGACAGGCCCGUAUGCGAAAUCUUGUACUCUCUAAUCAGGAUCCUGAGUACGGCCCAGCACGUGAAAUUGGGUCGGAAUCUGGGAGGACCAUCUCCCAAGGCUAAAUACUAACUAGUGACCGAUAGCGAACAAGUACCGUGAGGGAAAGGUGAAAAGAACCCCGGAAGGGGAGUGAAAUAGUUCUUGAAACCGUGUGCUUACAAGAAGUUCGAGGCCGUUAAUGGCUGAGAGCGUGCUUUUUGUAGAAUGAACCGGAGAGUUACGAUUGCGUGCAAGGUUAAGGUGCAAAGACUGGAGCCGUAGCGAAAGCGAGUCUUAAUAGGGCGAAUCAGUAC
RNAcentral lists this ribosomal RNA (698 nucleotides) under Oenococcus oeni. RNAcentral's name for it is "bacterial LSU rRNA". It matches the Rfam family "Bacterial large subunit ribosomal RNA", at positions 1 to 702 of the family's 2925-position model. The record is from RNAcentral. Lineage: Bacteria; Bacillati; Bacillota; Bacilli; Lactobacillales; Lactobacillaceae.